Molecule: ribosomal RNA, 405 nt
Filed under: uncultured prokaryote
Description: bacterial SSU rRNA
Rfam family: Bacterial small subunit ribosomal RNA
Source: RNAcentral
UGGGGAAUAUUGCGCAAUGGAGGAAACUCUGACGCAGCAACGCCGCGUGAGUGAAGAAGGUUUUCGGAUCGUAAAGCUCUGUCUUUGGGGAAGAAAAAAAUGACGGUACCCAAGGAGGAAGCCCCGGCUAACUACGUGCCAGCAGCCGCGGUAAUACGUAGGGGGCAAGCGUUGUCCGGAAUCACUGGGCGUAAAGAGUACGUAGGCGGUUUGGUAAUUUAGAUGUGAAAGUUUGCAGCUCAACUGUAAAAGUGCAUUUAAAACUGGCAGACUUGAGUCUCGGAGAGGUAAGCGGAAUUCCUAGUGUAGCGGUGAAAUGCGUAGAGAUUAGGAAGAACACCGGUGGCGAAGGCGGCUUACUGGACGAGUACUGACGCUCAGGUACGAAAGCGUGGGGAGCAAACA